CCAAACUUGGUUUCUUUGAUUGACUAAAGAUUUUCGAAUUGGAAAGAAUGACCUUCGAUUCAAACUCAUGCAAAAGAAUGUAGUUAGACGAUCUCAGAAUGAUGAUGAUUGUGAAUUCAUGGACCUCCGUGAGAAACUGUCAAGGACCGGGCAGCCUCCACACAGUAGUCUGGAUACACGGCAGUGCCUGCCCGAGUCAAGGGAAACCAGUAUCCUGGGAAGGAUUCCUGUCUCAAGAAGUACAAAUGAUUUGCCCCAGAUGAACUCAUCAAGAAGUUCUUAUUCUGCUUGGACUUUAGAUCAUAUCAGACGAAGAUCACCAGAGAGAAUUGUAGGUUCUUCUAGGGGUCUGUCACCCCCCAGGAAUGUGGAGGACUUGCAAAGAAAGCCUUUAAGUAGGACAUAUGAUGAUAUGAGAUCAAUUCCAUAUAUGAGCAAAGAUGUUCAUAAUGCUCCCAGGCCCAUGAGUACUUCACCUUACAUGACAAAACCCACAUUGCCUCCUGGAUCUGUAAAGCCUUUGCCACCAGGCCCACCACUUAUAGGCCAACUGCCUCCACCGCCUGGUAUUGUGCAGAAAAGUUCAUAUACAGUAAGAGCUCCCUUCCUUUUAUUUAUUUAUUAUUUUUUUAAGACACAUUCACACAGCUUUCGCUCAGACUGCUGCUUAGUUGGAUGACUCGUCUAAUUUUUCUGUUUACUUUGUAUAAGUGAUUGUAAAUUGUACUGGACAGUAGUUCUGGUAUUUGUGCUAGGUAAUUUGACUUUUCAAUUAGGAAUGAGAAAAAUUCUUAAACAAUUAGCCGUAAAGGGAAAAUGUUUUUAAUUACAAAUUGUAGAUAAUUUUUUCAAAAAUAAUAUGUACACACUUUAUGAAAUAAUGUCUAAAUUGUUGUGCUACAUGCUGAAGGAUAGACCAGCUAGACAACUCUGGCUGGAUUUUUGUAGCCUUUUUUUCAUGAUUGUCAUGGAUUUAUGUAUCCUUUUUUAUGGUUUUCCCAUCGAUUUGGUGAACCAUGAACCAUCUUCUACACUUCUUCUGUGACAGCUACUCUUAUUUGCUCAGUUGGAUGGCCUACUUAUUUAUCUAUGAUACAAGUACUCAAUUAAUGGAAAUCGAUGAUGAUAACCAUGGGCACUAGGAAGGCUGCACUGUGUCAGACAAGUUAAAUUUAUUAAUUUUCCAGACAGAACGGCUUUACUAUUUCUUGAUGAGCAAUGUGAUAUGUCAGCACUAUGUCUUAGGACUUUAAAUUCCUCUAAAAUUAAAUGGUAUCUUCCUUUCCAAAAAAAAAAAGAUGCUUUUCUAUUGUUGCAUUAGAAACUGCCACGAGGAGAUGCAAUAUGAUGGUACAGUAUUGGAAUUUAGUGUAUGGUACAAGUGUGUUAUUUUGCAGGCAUUAUUUGAAAAUUUGCUUGUAACUCAUUUUCUUUCUCUUCCACCUGUAUAUGUCUGUGACUUCUGCCCCUAUUCCCUGUUGGAUCUGAAUUCUCUUAUCAGCUUUUUUGCAAAAUAUCUCUUAGCAUCAAGAUUUUCUAGACUGUUCUACAAUUUCUCAAUGAAUAAUGUCUGUUUAUAUUGUGGCACCAAAUCCUUCUUUGCAGCUUUUGCACAUUAUCAAUUUGCAAUUGCUAUUAUGCAUCUCUGACUUCUUUUGCUGUUUACCAUGCAGGGUGAAGAACAGCAAACUGUUGAUGGGCUGUUGCAUUCACUAGGACUGGGAAAAUAUGCCAUUCUUUUUAAGGCUGAGGAAGUAUGUUAUUCUACUCCCUCCCCCCCCAAAAAAAAGAAAAAAAAAUUAAAUGCUUUGCUGAAGCUGAGUUAGAAUAAAUUGAAACCUUUGUCCUUUUCAAUUUCAUGCUAAAUUACAUAAAUUCUAUGUAGUGUGAAGGUAAGAUGCCAUUUGACUAUGUAGUUUUUUUCUAUACACUUAUAUUUUGAGCAUGCAUGGCUUCCCAUGCCCUGUACUGCGAUUAGUAUAAGAUACAAGGGAUUCGUAUUUUUGCAUUUUGCUCUUGGCUGUUACACAAGUGCUUUAGUAGUGAUAGUGUGGCCUGGUAAUGUGUUUGAGAAUUCGUCAUAUGCAUAGUUAAUUCUAUGGUGUUCCUUGUGUUUAACUUAAACCUUAAUCUUCUUAAUAAACGGUAACCGUUGCAACUUCAUCUUACAAGAUUUUUUUAUGAUUUUAAUUUAACCUAGUCUUCUUAAUGAAUAGUAACCAUUGCAACUUCAUCUUACAAGAUAUUUUAUUUUUUUAUUUUAAUUUAACUCCCAUUUUUCUGUUGCCUGAUUUGAUGUAGGUGGAUAUGACCGCGUUGAAGCAGAUGGGGGAAAACGAUCUCAAGGAACUGGGAAUACCUAUGGUAUGCAUAAACUUCUUCCUUUUUGCGGUUUCCGCAUUUGCGCAUGCAGUUUAAUUCAUGUAUUGUACUCUAUAAUGUUUUUCAUGUCAUAUAUGGAUGUUUAAUGAUCUUUAAAAUGAUCAAAUGAGUAUUGAACAUUUUAAGCAUCCUUUUCCAGAACAGUGUGUCUGGGUGCAUUGUCAAGCUUGUGCAAUGAAAAAAGCACGUUUAGGUUGAGGAGUGAGUUUUUUUCCUUUAUUUUGACUCGGUUUAUUUAUACUCCGUCUCAAGUUUCAGGUUUGAGUAGGACUUAGGGCUAAAUUAUGGCUGAUUUUUAUUUAUUGAAUCAAUAGAAAAAACAAUCAUGACUUAUAAUUCGAGAGGUAGGUCAAUCUCUCCCUAAACUCCUAAUUAUUCCUAACACUAGACAGAACAUAAACCCUAAAUGACUCUUUAAUCUCUUAUUUAUACCUGAGCCCUAAUUAACGAAUAAAUAAAAUUACUAAACUGCCCCUGCCCCUGCCCCUUUAUAUUUGUGCCUAACAUAAGUUUUAUUGGUCUAACACUGAUUCAAGUGAUGACUUCAGUGUUCCUAAAAGAAUUCUCAUUUCAGUUUACUGUAUUAAUUCUUCAUCUUUAAUACAAACAGAUUCGCAAGAUCUCCCGUCAUGCUGAUCUUUCGGCUUGUUAUGUAGUUUCUGGUUUUUCAUGCAUUGCCUGAUGAAAUCUUGUUUGAUUAACAGGGGCCUAGGAAAAAAAUUCUCCUGUCUCUAUUGCCUCGCUCCAAACGGCACCCAUGACAACUACACUCCGAAAGCAAGGAUGUAUUUUAUGAUCAUUAAUUCUAUUUUGGAUGGGAGUUUGUAUUGAUGAAUCUUUUCCCAUCAAAGAAAUAGCUUUUAUUUCUGUCAUUUCCAGAAGAAAUUGGCCAAGAAUCAGUUAAUCACAUUCUUGCCUUUUUAACUCAAAAAGUUUCCUUUUUAAAAAAAAAACUCAAAAAAGUUGGAAUUCAGUAGAUAGUUGUGAGAAAUUUUGAUGGGUGGAAUAUUUUGCUGUCAUUUUAGUCUACACAUGUAUAUCGAUCAUUGCUUUCUCAUGUAACCUUUGUUUUCCAGUUGGAAUAUUUUAGAAUUCGAUUCUGAUGCCUUUUAUGUAAAGAUCUCUGAAUCCCGGGAUCGGAGCUGGGUUGCGGAUGUGGGUAACCUUAUCUUGAUAUUGCACUCAUUAUUUUAACCGUCUUCUUAGCCGUUUAUUUUUCAUAUUUUACUAAACCUGUUGCUGGUGCAAUUCAGAGAAGAGAAACAGAUUAACUGAACUGUACAAUGGAUAUCGACUACUUUUUUGAAAAAGAAGUUCUCACCAUAGGAUUUGGUUUGACUUUUGACUGUUUUAUCUAUCAUGUAUGCGUAGGACGGACAUGUAAUAAUAGUUGUUGUUGGUUAAAAAAUAAAAAUUAAAAUAAUUUUAAGAUUGCGGUUAUUUGGAUCCACUAAGUUUUUUAUUAAAUUUACUUUUAAAAAUAAUUUUUUAUGAUUAAAAUAUUUUAAAAUUAAAUUAUAAUUAUAAAUAUUAAAAUAUAAUAAGAAAUAAUUUUUUUUAAUUUCUGCUGUACGGCCAAGGCGGAUGUACGGUACAGCAGAAAAAGAAUUAAAUAUAAAAACAAUAAGAAAAAUAUUCCAAAAUCAGUAUGUCACAAAUAGCCACUCUGCCUAAAUGAAUACAUAAUAUGAAACAUGACAUGGGUGUUUCUUUGACACUAAACACACCUGUACAGAACUUCUCAGGCAUGUUAAAUAUAGGACAAGAAAAUGUAGAAUGAAGAAAACUCAUUUUUAUAUUCGCUCAGUUUUAUCAAACUCUAAUCAUAAAAUCUUAAUUAUAUUUGUUAAAUUCUAAUCAAUUAAGAAGUUUUAUGGAGGAAUCAAACAAUCAAUAUUAACAAUAGUUUGAAACACGUAUGAAAUUCUUAAACUUAUAUUUGAUUUUUGUUUUUUUUUUCUAUUCGAAAUUGAUAGAGAAAUAAAUUCAAAAUCCACAAGUAAACCCUGCAUGCAUAUGAAAAUGAUCUUUAACAAUCAUCGUCGUCGUCAAACCAACCUUUCAUGGACGGUGAUGAAGGCAUCGCCAUUGCCUAUCGUUAUUGCAAACAAAUAAGCUGCUGACUUCUUCUUUGAUUGUGUUUCUUGAGUUCUGCUUUUUCUCUGUUGUGCCGCUCUGUUUUCGUUUUGACAGUCCCAACUGAACGUUUAUAGUCUUCAAGUUUGGGUUUCUUUGUAAUUCUUCAAAAGAAGUGUUAAUUACUGCGUACGUUAUUCUGAUACUGGCUCAGGAAUGGGCGGAGGAGCUUGAUGUUUGCUGCAGCGGCUGCAUCUGUUUGCUCUUUUGCUGGCAUUGGAAUUUCAAUGGCAGCACGACAGCCAAAAACAGGCACCCUUAUAUCUUCAGUUAACAUUUGCCAAAAUUUGUAAUUGGGUUAAAACAAAAGGGGUUUACACUUCAGUUAUAAUUUGCCAACAAAUUCCUACAUAUCUAACAAACGUAACAAUCAUAUAUCCAUAAUUUUUUUUUUAAAACAAUAAGCAGAUAAUUAUUUGCAAUCUUCUCUGUUGAUUUACAUCACUCCCGUGAUCCUUUCAAAAGACUGAACAUAUCGUUAAGUGCAGCAUAGCUUUACAAAUUGCUUGCAUGAAACUCAAAAGGACUAUGUGUACAUCUCAUUUUUCAUAUGAAGUGGAAGAAACCCAGGCCUGCAAUUUAGAAAAUACAAGAACAGAAAAAACAUGAGCAACUGAUAUAAACUCAAUAACUCAUCGAUCAACUUUCAGUUUGAUCAGUCAUAUGUUCAUGCAUUCUUCUUGAACUUUGUGGGCUUAGUGCUGAAAUUGUCUAUGACUGAAGGGCGGGAGAUUUUCUUCUUGUGUGUUGUCUUCACCAGCUUUCCCACAACUUCUCCUCUUGAUCGGAGUCUAAACUUCAGUAUCCAUGGAACUUCACCUCCAGUUGGAGAAGCUUGGGCAAAAGGCAAAAACUUUCUUCAAAAAAAAAUAAAAAAUUAUGAAACAUUUAUCAAGGGUUUAUAAAUGAAUUUAAUAGGUUUAAUGAGUAAAAUCAUUAUUAUUAUAAAAAUUGGGUCUAAUAAGAGUACAUUAGGUAUUUUAAGUGGGUUUAUUGAGUAAAAUUUAAAAUUUCAAAAUUUGAAGGUGAAUUUAUUUAAUAAAUGGGUUUAGUGAGUAGUUUGGGAAGUUAAAAGUAGCCAUACCCUAAUUUUAAUUAUUGAUUUAGUGAUCACUAAUUGAUGGAUAUUAUAUUGUUACGGCUAAAGCAAAUUUGGUCUCUCCAAUUCCAGGAGUACCCGGUCAGCAGUCAGCACAAUAACUUGGUGCUCCAAGCCAAUAAUAUAAUUCAGCGCCACGUGAUCAUAAUUAAAAAAUAAAAAUCGAAAGUUAAGCUAUAAUUUUUGGUGGGAUUCUUCACUCAUUUUUUGUGCUCUAAACAUUUUUAAUUUUCAAAACAAUCUUUUGCCUCAUUCUCCUGCUUUUCAUCAGAAUCAAAUCGUUUUUAUCCCCUCCCUCACAUUUUUGUUGUUCUUUCUCUAGCCGUCAAUUAGAGAGAAGAGAAAGGAGGGAUUGAAAACCACUUCGUUCUUGCUCGUUGGUCUUGGAUGCCUCUUCAUUGUAUAUUGACGUAUUGAGGCAGGUUUUGGUAUUCCGUUGAUUGAAUCUCUCCACGUUCUUUUACCAUUUAGCAGCAAUUUUUGAAGUAUUCGUAUUGUUUUCCACCAAAAAGUUGAAAGUUUAUUGCAUAUAUUUGUAGCAAGAAGCGUAUAGUAUUAUCACACUUUGGGUUAAUUCGCACAUGAAAAUCCUCUUAAAAUGCUAAAAAAUCCAAGUGCCGUAACACAAGCAAAAGAACGAUAAUUACAUUUCUUCUGAAGUUCUUUCCUUCUUAAGAUGUCAACAAACAACAGAGCGGAGUUUCAACCUGCCACUUAAAAGAAAAAAUAAAAAGAAAAAAAAAAUCAGCAAAAUAUAUCCCGUCAGCAACUCAAAAUAGAUUUUGUAGCAAUUCCAUCACACAAGCAAUCUGAAAUAACUGAAAAUAUAAAAUACAACAGUAGUAUUUUAGUGUAGUAGCAAUACAAAUUUUUAUGUAGUGCAAAGAAAAAGCCAUCUAACUCGACCCUUAAAUAAAAUACCAUUCUCGUCUAAAUUCAAGCAAAAAAAUAUAUAUUAUAUCAUGCUAAAAUUUUCUUAAGCUCAGCGUACGAAGGUCGAAAAUUUUUUAGAGUUCAACGUUCUCAUAGCUCAAAAGCCAAUAAAAGAACAACAUAUCAAAUAAUUCGCAUAAUAUUGACUUUAAAAAAUUAAAGAAAAAUUUUAGGCUUCUGCAUCAGACGUCAGCUCCAGCUUCAUUCUCCAUCGUUAUCUUUCUCAUUGUUUGAAUGAUCCAUCUUACUCGAAUCAAUUAACCUGAGCGUGAGUCAAAAACUAAAAUGAAAUAAGCAGAGAAUCAAUAAGCCAUGGCUUAUGGGUCAAUUAAAAAAAAAACAAAAAAAAUCCAGACAUGCGAAGGCAAUAACAUAUCAAAUGGAGUACACUUAUUCAGGAUCCAGCUACGGUACCGUACCACUGGUUUUGUCUUUUGUGCCAGUAGUAUUGUAAAAUUUCAUUGAACCCCUUUCAUUCAAUUAAACUUUACCUCAUAAAUAUUAAAUUAAUUUCUAUUGCAUCUAUAUAAACAUUAUAAUUAGCACAUUAUACUAUUUGUUAUUUAUACAUUUUUCUUUUAUAUUGCAUAUUUAUCACAAUACCCCUCUCUUUAUCACAAAUACCAGCUAACCCGACCCGAAUUUCGUUUCCAUUUCCGUCCACGCCACCGGCCGAGGUUGGUACCGAUCGGAAGAUCGUGUGACGCCAAUCAUCUCCACGCCAUCCUUGUCACAAAAAUAACUGGUUCAACCCGACUCAGAUUUUAUUUCCGUUUUCAGCAACUCCACCGGCCAAGGUUGGUACCAAUCGGAAGCUUGUGCGACGCCGAUCAUCUCCAUGCCAUCCUUGUCGCCGUAAAGCAUUCAGAAAGCUGUCGAUCGAAGCCGUGAAAAGUCACAGAAUCCCCGCUUCAAUUCGUCGCAGUUUCUCCGGUUUCUGGUGACGCCACCACUUGGGUUUUGUUCUCCACGGUUUCCUCUGUCUUUUCUGACCAACCACAGCUACCGGAGGAGGCGAUUUGCCGUUGAUCGACCUUUGAAGGAUUCACGGGUUUAGGAGAAAUGAACUUAAUAUUUGUGAAGCAAAAUUAAAAUAAGAAUAAGUGAAAUGCCUUCAUGAUAUUUUACACAAAAAAAGACAAAAACGGUGGCAUGGUGCCACCGUUGCACGAUAGGCGAGUCCGUCUUAUUCCAUGCAAGUCAACUCAAUGGUGUUGACUUACAAACGUAAUGAGGUUGAAGGCAAGUUGCAGGCGUGACGUCGGUCCGCGAGACAGCCACUUCCGGUGGAUUGGCAACGAUCUAGUGCCAAUUCAGAGAAUUCAAUUUCAGGUCGUCGAAAAGAAAAGAACGUUAAAGAAUAAUUUGCCGAGGUUAAAAUGUAAUUAAUUUUUAAAUGUCAACUUUUUUUUAUAACUUUUGUGGGUAAAAACGAGGAAGAAUCCCACAAAAAAUUUAGCUUAACUUUUAAUUGUAAAACUUUUUUAAAUGCUGGCACCACAUGGCAUGGCAUUAAAUUAUUGGCUUAGAGCACCAAUUCACUGUGCUGAUCUGUAGCUCCUGGAGCAUAGAAGACUUUCUCCUUGGCUGUCCUAGACGACUAGCAUUAAACAGUGGGAGAAAAAAAAAAAAAACUUAUAUGGACUAACAUGUUGAGUUAGGUGCACAAACUAAUGAUAUUUUGUCAUAUAGUAAAGUAGUAGGUUACAUACAUUGUAGUAUUUAUUAGUAUUUUUAAUAUUAAAUUUAAUAUAUUCCACUUUGAGUAAGAACCCAUUAUUCUAACAUGUGAUAAAACACACUGUGUCUAUGAGAAUGGGACAGUCCCACUUUAAUUCUAAUUGCUUUCAAAUCUUAACGACCAUGGCCCCUUCGCAUUUUGCAUUAUAAACCAACCUAUCCUAUUAGGAUAUUGUAGUUUUGAAAAAAAAAUUUGAAAAAUAAGGCAGAGAGGUAGGUAUUGGAUAAAGUUUAACUUGCUAAUUUUCCUUCCAAUGCAAGUGGCUAACUAGAGAAAGUUUAUUGAAAGCCACUUAAUCGAGGCAGGCUAGUGGGGGUUGUAGCUUGAAAAAGAAAUGUUUGUUUAUCAACGAUAAAUUAAUAUGUGAAAUGUGCAUGCACUUCAUUUGCAGCCACCGGGAAACAUCCGCCAGCUACAGUAUUGAGUGACGUGUGUUCCAAAAAUGCUCAAAAUUUUUGAGUUUCGCCAUAACUGAGAAAUUUCUGCUUUCCCUCUUCAAACAAGGAAUGCGGCUUAUUGAGUUAAUCAUGUCGUUAUUUUCUUGUUAAGUCUUUAUUCACCAUGGUUGCCUGCGGAGUGCUUUCUGUUAGCAUAAUAUUGAUAUAUAAAUAAAUUUUAUAAUUAAUUGUUAAACGGGUCGUAUCUUGCACAACCGAUUCUUUCUCCCAUUUAAUUUGUCUUACUGAAACUGAACAUUGGUUUCCUUAUCGAUCAUACAACUGUUGAGUGUUGAAUUUUACCCCCACAACCCAUCUCCUUACAUAAAAUUAAUCUUGUUUGAUUUGACAAGUAGUUAAGUGCAUGUACUUGAUAGUAAUGGUGUGCCAUGUUUGCAGUUUAGUUUCAUUGCAUAUAAGGUAAGGUCUCAGCUUGGGGAAUUCACAGUAAUGAUGAGUUGACAUGAUAUAUGUCUUCACUCUGCACACUGUAUUUGAAAAUUCUUUGGUUCAAAUGUUCCAUCAUUACAUAAAGAAUUGAAUGUUUCCCAUAUGGGAUUGUGACUGAAACCGGAAAAAAGCUUCAAACAUUUAGAAAUAAGCUCGUGCCUUUUAGUUUUUCACAUCUGGGAAAUGAGGAGGAGGCCUGAAUUAAUAUGCUUUGCAGCUUUAGUCAAUCUUGUAACACUUCCUUUCCCUAGUGGGAUUCCUGCUUUAUCCUUAUCAACUUUCUUUUAUUUCACAACUAGAUAUAAAUUUAAUAGGCAAAUUUCAGAGGAUGAAGAUCUCUCUAACAAUAAGACCUUCCGUGAUACUUCUCAUUUUUACACCUACUAAAUUACGCAGCUCCUGCUUUAUGAUUUACAGGUUUCGCAGAAACAUGGUAAUUGCAAGAUGGCCGACAUGUGGCAUUUUUGCUGUUGUUCCACUAGCUAGCAGCCAGCAGGAUGAUUUUCCAAGUGCCGUCCCCAUUACUUUCACCACUUAUGACACGACUCCUCAUUUUUGAAUCGUGAGACCAAUUGCACUGUUUCCUCCUGCUAAAACAAUGCUCAGAUAUGUGGUUUUGAGGUUUUCUAGCAGCAUUCACAUACAUGGUGAAGUCAAGUUAUUAAUUUUCAUCACCAGAAUCCUUAUCAAUCAUUCCCUUUGUACACUUUUGCAGACUUUUUAGACCACAAAGACCUUAGAGUGAAAUCCAAAAGACUGUAGAGUUAUGUUAAGUGUCGUGAUAUUAUCAACAGCAAGCUCUAUUAAAGAUAUGCCUCGAAGUGUAAUUAAAAAGUAAAAAGUAGCCUUCUGUAGCAACCCCUGACUCGUCCUGAUUCCUCUUUACAGCUUUAAUCUUAAUCAAAUGAAAUUAGUAUAUAAUCUUGUUGCAUUAGUCAAUCUUAGCACUCUGUGUGGCUCAUAAAUAUGGUUUUAAAUUCCUUUAGGAUUUGUCCAGAAGAAAAGAAGGAAGAUAUAGAUUGGAUGAGCAAUGAGAAUUGGGGUGGCUGAUGGUAGGGCCCAUUGAUAAAUCAAAUCAAAAUGAAAUGAAAUGAGAAAUCAAUCAAUCAGCUAACCCACCCACCAUAAGCACAAUAACUCAAUCUAAUCCCCUCUUAUGGCCUCAUUUUAUAUUUUUAUUCCACAUAUUAAGAUAGUUAAAUGCUUGAUGACAGCAUGCCUACUUGGAAUUCUUCUCCUAAAGCAAAAAAAGGAAGUGGGAACUGGGAAUUUGGUUAGCUUGAGAGAUCUGUUGGUGGAAGAAAGUCUACCAAUGGAAGAUCAAGAUCUUGGCUAUAGACGAUGGAAUAAACAACGCAAUCUAAUAGUUUCCAAUAUGUCCUCAAAGUUACAAGUUUGUGGGGUCAUUUUAGAACAACUGUCCAAAACAAAUGCUUGCCUUAUGUAUACAAUAAUGUUAGUUGACGACUUGAUUCACCAGAAAACAUAUGCUUUUGGGUAUAAAAUAAUAGGCUUGCCUGCUCUAAGAAGAUAUGCCCAGAUCUUCUUGAAGACCAUUAUAAGUAUAUAUGCUUACAUCAUUACCCACUUCUAUUAUUCCCUUGUUUAGCAACUACUCUCCCUUAUUAUUAUAUUAGCUUUUGUAAAACAUGGUCAAGAUUUGAUAUAUUAAGCCCAUUUAUAAAAGAACAAAAAGUGAAAAAAAAAAAAUGUGGGUGGAGGGAUAAUUGCAGUAAGCCCAUUUAUAAAAGAACAAAAAGUGCAACUACUCUCCCUUAUUAUUAUAUUAGCUUUUGUAAAACAUGGUCAAGAUUUGAUAUAUUAAGCCCAUUUAUAAAAGAACAAAAAGUGAAAAAAAAAAAAUGUGGGUGGAGGGAUAAUUGCAGAGAAGCCUCAUUUGGUGCUGAAUAAUCACAUUUCUACAGGUUUCAACAUUGUAUAUACAUUAGUGGAUGGGACUGGGCACCCACUGCAAUUAAAUUUUACGUUUUAAAUUAACAUAUUAUAUAUGAUAAGGUUGGAUAAAGGACAAUACAUGAAUCCACUGACUGAUUUGUUAGUUUAAUUAGUAAAAUAUCUUAGAUAUGCAUUUAAGUACAGUGGAAGAUUUGUUUUGUUAAUUUCAAAGUAUAGCUUAUAAUAGCCCCUCUUCUUUCAGGUGAUUGCAUUUGCAUCAUUGCAUCCCAGCUUUCUUAGCUUUGACUUUUGUAAAUUAUUAGUUAUUAUAAUUGAUAAAACUAAAUAACUUUCAUCCUCUCCUUAAGCAUGGAAUAUAUGUUAUUAAUCACCAAGUGGUACCAUAAUAGCAUAUAUUUAAUGAAUAUUAUAAUUGCUUCCAGACCAUUAUUCCUCAUUAACAAAGCACACUGAAUCCUCUUUGAUGGAGAAAGCUUGAGGUGUUUCCACUGCAAAUUUGAAAAAAAGUUAUUAAAAAAUCAAUAUUGCAUGAGACGGCUUCUGUGAUCUGACUUUUCUUUUUCUCUCUUUUUUUUAUUGAACCUUAGUACGAUUAAAAUGCUGUUCAUGAUUAUAAAACUAUCCCCUAUUUUAGAUGCAAUGCAUUCUUGGAAGCCAUAGAGUGUUUACUAUAAAAGGAACACAAGCCAAACAACUCAAUACUCAGCAUCAUCUGUGUCUUAACGUAUAGGCCCUUUUAUCACUGGCUACAAAAACAAUAUCAUUCUUUGGGGAAAAAAAAAAUCAUCACAUUUGAAGAGACAUGGAAAAGGAGAUGACUACUGUUUUUUCUCAUACUUCAGAUGGAGAAAAUGCCUCUUCAGCCGGUUCCUGUGUUGAAAAGAAGCUCAGAUUAUUUGGGUUUGAGCUGAAUCCAUGCAACAACAACAACACCAACGACGAGACAUGCCGCCUGAAAGGUUCUGCAGAAGGAGAUGAAAGUGUCAACUCCUCAAACACUGCAUCUUCUGGAAGUGAGAAACCUAGCAGCAGCAGGGAUAAAAGCAGCCCCCCAACUGGUGAAUCUGACUACAAAAAAUUCGAGUGUCAGUAUUGUUUCAAGGAGUUUGCAAACUCACAGGCAUUGGGGGGUCACCAAAAUGCCCAUAAAAAGGAGAGAAUGAAGAAGAAAAGAUUGCAGCUUCAAGCCAGAAAGGCCAGCCUCAACUCUUACUUACAACCUUAUCAAAACAUGUACAACCUCAGUUUCAAUAAUACUUACCAUGGCUCCAAUACUGCAUCUACAUGGUUCUAUGAUCCUUCAUGCUACCCUUGUGAUAAUCAAUUCACUCUUUAUGAAGAAUCUCAAAUUAGCUUCAAUCCAUACGAUCAAGAUCCUCGUGUAUCAAAAUGGUGUAGUACUGCUACCAUACCAACUCAAACUCCAUUUCAUCAGCAAGAUUCUACCCCCAGUAUGUUCACUCGGACCGACAGAUCCGGAGACCACACGCCUGCACUCAUCAUCAAGCCCUCUCCUUUGUCUGCCGCGGCUUCUAAGCAAAGCUGUAAAUCUUUGGAUCUUCAGUUAGGUCUCAGCUUGGAAAGCGGCGUAUGAAGUACUAUCUAUACCAUACGACCCCAGCUACUCCAACAUUGUAAAUCCAGCGUUUGCUCGCUGUAACUCACCCAAGGAAAAAAAAAAAAUGAUCGGUGAUAUUGUAAGAUUCAUGCAAUUACGUACGUUCAUCAAGUUCAAUCUGAAAUUAUUAUGAAUGUCACACAAACACAUGCUAUCGAUCACGUUUGCAUCCAUUUCAAGAUACGGCAAUUCCUUGAACUUAAGACAGUUCAAAACAAUACGGGAGCUACAGUAUUUUCUUCAUUUAUUUUAGUUGACAUACAUAUAUAUAUAUAUAUAUAUAUAUACACACACACACAUACUUGUGUCCAUGUGUCGACCUUUAAUUCAACUUCUUGGCGACGCACUGCUAUCUAUAUAAAAAUUAAAAUAAAAUUUUAAAGACGAUCAACCUCGAAAUUUUUCAAGACAAAGUUACCAGGUUCACAUUUUUGACCGAUUAUUAAAAGUCCUAAAAAAAAAAAAAAAAGAUGAACCCGGCUGACCAGCUGUAAUUAAGCAUUAUAAUAUUAUUCGAUAAUAAAUAAACUUCCACAGAGAAGAUCUCAAAUCUAGCCACAUUAUCAACAAGUUAUUAUCAGAAACUAAUAAAUAUUGCGGCAGCUCUCUCUGUACACAACAACUGAUUAUUAUUUUUUAAAAUAUUUUUUUAAGUAUUGAAAUAUUUGAUUGAAUAGCUUUGUGGAUACAAAUAUAUACUUAUUUGAAUGAUUCUUCGAGGUCAAGUUUGGUUGAUUGCUAAUAAUAAUAUCGGUUGUGAUUUAUUUAAUUCGCAGUGACGUAGAGUUUAAGAUUAGGUUCGUUCAUAGCAAUAAUUGGUGGAAGUUCGGAACUAAAAUUUUUUUCUAUCAAAAUAUGAAACGUGCACAAAUUUCUUAACAAUAAUAAAAACUUAAGCCGUUUGUUCCUUACAAGCAUUGUAUUUGAUUCAUUGCAAUCAAGCAUUUCUAGUGGAGAUAAUUGGUCUCCUUUCGCUCAAUAAAAAUAUGUCACGCAUUUAAAAUAUUCAAGUGGAUAAAUAAAAGAUAAAUCGGUACGUCACAUUUAAAAUUGUAUAGUGCUUAUUUUGAGCUUGUUAGUUGGACUGAUUAAUAAAUCACAUUUUUAAAUAUCCAACUGGUCAUUGCCGCCAAGGUUCUUUGAAUUAUGUACAAACCCUAACGAAUUAUUAAUGAAAUGGACUCGUUAUUCCAAUUAAAUUUUUUUAAAAAUAUUGGGUUAACGUAUUAUGGGAUACAUGCAUUCCAAGUACGCCAUUAAUAACAAUAAUUGUAAAUCUUUACAUAGAAUAAUAAAUAUAUGUGCUUUCAUCUUUGAUAAUUCAGCGCAUGUAGAUGGAAUAUAUUAGUGAAAUUUAAAGAUUUUGUUUUAGAUUCUUGGGGCCCAGGCGGUUGAAUGUGUGUUGGCUGGAACAAAAUAAAAUAAAACAAAACAAUAGAUGUAUGAUAUAAUAAAGAAACAGCUAAAAUAACUUAUGUGACAAGUUAACAAGAACUAUUCUAAUAAAAAAAUUAUUAAGUUAGAUAAGUAGAUUGACGUGGGUACAAUAGAAUUGUAAUCGUUAUUCUAGAAGUUAGGCAUAACACGGUAUUAGCGUUUUCACUGAAUAAAUCAAAAUGCGAAUAUUAAAAGGCCAUUGGGUCUCCGAUGUUCAACUAUUUUAAUAAUAAUGUAAUAAAUAAGAAGAUCGAUUUGUGAACAACCACUUUUAUACUAUUAGUAGUAUAUAUAUUGCGUAAGACAUCAAGAGAAAAUUGGCGCAAAAGAGAAUCCUUUCCUCUACUGAUAGAGCACAUAAUAGAUUAUAGCUUCAUUUAGAUUUUGAGAUAACUCAUUAGCUCUUUCAGCUCAUCCUCCAUCUCAUAGUUGGCUAUAUCAACGAAAAUGAUGAUAAUUCCUCUAUAUAAAAGUUGAUCUAGGCCAAUAACUUUUCAUAUAUGAGUUUUGAGGUUUUAGAUCUAAUCAUUAGCCCUUCUUGAUAUUUCCUUUGAUGCUUUUCUGGCUUUUUAGUUCCAAUUUCAUUGUAAGGCGUGGUGUAUUGAUUGUAAAUGACAUGACAAGAUGCAUUUAUUAUUUACUGUUUUAUUUUCUUCCACAUAGUAUUUUUUUGUUUCUUCCAUUUAUUUGAUGAUAUAUAUUAUUGUAAAUGCUAACAUAUAACUGUUAUAGGUACCAUCCUGAUAAGAAUGCAAAUGACCCUGUAGCAGCUGAUAUUUUUAAGGAGGUUACAUUUUCCUAUAAUAUCUUGUCAGAUCCUGACAAAAGACGACAGUAUGACACCGCUGGUUUUGAGGUGAGAUGAACACAAGGGGCUAAUUUGUGAUUUUUUUUUUAAUGAUUUCAUCAACUAUUUCAAUCAUACAUUUGGAUGCGUGGGUUAGCAUGAAAUCAGUUGUGGAUGUGAUGAUAAUUUUCCAUAGGCUGUUGAAUCAGAAAGUCAAGAAUUGGAGCUAGAUCUUUCUAGUUUGGGAGCUGUGAACACCAUGUUUGCUGCACUUUUUAGGUAUAUUCUUUGUGAAUAUUUUCUUCUAUUCUUUAGAACUUUUCUGCAACUUGUGAAAUCAUUCCAAUGAUUUGAGUGGAAUGGCUUUUUCAAAAUAGUAAACUUGGUGUGCCAAUCAAGACCACUGUAUCGGCUACUGUCUUGGAGGAGGCACUUAAUGGCAUGGUAACUGUUCGUCCACUACUGCUUGAUCAACAUAUAACCAGGAAGGUAGGCAUUCUUAUUUCUUAGCUGCUACUGCUGUUAAGUUGUGUACUGAUUGAAUUGUUUUGCAUCUGAACAGGUUGAAAAGCAAUGUGCUCAUUUCUAUUCUGUUACAAUAACAGAAGAGGAAGCACGGGCUGGAUUCGUGUGCCGAGUGCAAUCAUCUGACAAAAGCAAAUUCAAGGUUUAUAAGAAUUCUGUCUCUAUUCCUCUGGGAACUAUACACUCGUUUUCAUCUUCUACACUGCUUUUCAGUUCUUUUUGAACGCAAGGCUUGACAAGCUAAUAAUAAUUGUUCUUUAAACUAAAUUCAAACUAGUGUGCUUUGUUUAUUUUAUAUUUGUAGCGUUUGUAAAAUCAAAUAAUAACAGGGAUAAGGAACUUUGGAUACACCACGUGUAACUUUUAGUUAUAGUUAAACUUUAGUAGAACCAUCUUUCGAUUGAGUAGCAAGAGAAAGUAUGUGCAGCCUGGGUAACUUCUUUUCACAACUCAUAUAGACCUUAUUUUUUAAAAAAAAAUUAAAAAAGCAAGUGGUAUUUUGGCGCUCAUAAACUUUUGGAAUAUUGUUGUUAUCACUUUAUUAAUACUAAUUGUCUAUUUUCUGAAUUACUUAAUGCAUUAUUAGUCAAAGGCUGAUCAUUUCUGUGAAGAGCUAAUUGCACAUAUGCUAGCAUGCUUCUUUCUUUGGUUGACCACAAAGGACUGUUGUAUCCAUAUCCUCUUGAGUAUAAAAAUCUUUCAUAUGGAAUCAGGAAUUGGUGAAAUUUCAGUCCUACUUGUUUAUUGUCUGAUUUCUUAUGUGCUAUAUUGUAAAAUUUAUAUUUUAUUUCAUCUUUUCUCCUAAAGCAGGUGUUCUAACUCAUUGGCUUUGUGCAGUUAUUGUACUUUGAUCGGGAAGGGACUGGUGGACUGAGCCUUGCACUUCAGGUAUUGAGCAGGUUUCUUUUCCUUUUUUUAAUCUCCUUUUGUGAAGUAUAGAUAAUAUACACACUCCUUUUAUAUAUUUUUUCCCUCUCUGUAAGAUUGCGCUCACAUUGUUUAUGAUGAUUUCUUUCUGGUGUAGGAGGAUUGCACAAAAACUGGAAAGGUUACGUCUGCUGGCAUGUAUUUUCUUGGUUUCCCAGUUUACCGGUUGGAUCAAACAGCCACCUCGGUGAGUUGAUUGUGUUGUAAAUAAAUAAUUUAUUUAUCAGGGAAUAUAGACAUAUAAAAAGUAACCUUCGUAAAUCUAGAUUUGGGUGGAAAAAAACUAUUAUAUAUAUAGAGAGAGAGAGAGAGAGAGAGAGAGAGAGAGAGAGAGCAAAGUUUCAAUGAUCUUAUAGUGCAUGCGUCAGAGUUCAAUAUUACAAAGGGUUCAAUUGGAAUUGUUUUUAAGAGAUUUAAAAGUGAUUUUAUAAAGAUAAAAGCUAAUUUUUGUGUUUGAUAAACUUUUUUUAAAAACGACUUUGGACAGAAUCACCUCAUCAUAUAGAAUUUGAUUUUGAAAAUCACUUUUAUACUUAAUAUGAUUCUAUAUAUAUUCUCAAAUAUAUUAUAAAAAUUUAAAAUUAUCCUUAGUAGUUAGAAAAUAAAAUCAUUGACUUUAUAGAGAUUAUUAUUAUUAUUAUUAUUAUUAUUAUAUAUAUAUAUUUUAUUCAAUGUUAUAUCAAAUUCAAUUAUUUAUAUUUUUACAGCAAUUUAACAGUAAGAUUUACCAAACAAAUAUGGCUGCUUUUAAAACUUACGAUACUUUUAAAAAUAAAUUUUACCAAAUAUUUAAUUAAUUUUCUUCAUAUUUGAUUAUUUAUACAAUACAACUAACAAUAAUUAUUUUAAAGAACAAUAUUAUCAAACUAGCCCAAAGUGUAUUUGGCAAAUUAGAGGUACUAGGUUAGAGACUUGUUGAUAUAAAUUAACAAACUUCAUCUCUACUUAAAAACUUUCGUAGAAUGAGGAAUCAAAAUGUUUUAAAUUAUAUACCAAAUGUUCUGGUAAAUUAUUUGUCAUUCAUUCAGUGAUUAAUAAUUUUUGACAAUUUUUAGGGGAAUUAAUUAUAUUACGCUACCAUUCAAUUGAUAAACAUUAUAUCAUUGAAAAUGGAAUUGUCACAUUAAAUAAGAAGGUAUUUUGAGACUCUUCUGAGGUAUUGACUCGGCUGGUUGGAUCAACAGCAAUAUUCUAACUGGGCUUGCUGUCAUGUGAUUGCAUUAAAGUUCUGGGCUGGUUGGAUCAACAGCAACACCCACUCAGAUUGAUUCUGAAAACACUUGACAUACAUCUGAGUACCCCCUUUUCUCAUAUGAAAAUGAAAUGAUCUUUCAUUGCAUAAUUGCAUUGAAGUUCUCAAAAUCCAAACGAGGGGUACAUUUAGCAUUACACCAUAAUUUUAGUUUUAGCUCAAAACACGAGGCUUAAGCCUUUAUUAUGUAUAUACACACAAAUAAUGAUAAUAAAGGUGUUAAAUCUUUGUCUUCGGUAAGAGACAAAUUAAAGAAUUUGAGUUCACACUUUUUGUUAGGUAAAAAGUCAGCCUCCCCCCGGCAAUAUUGAUGGUGAAAUUAUUGUCACUUCUCCUCGGAAUCAAUAAUUGAAUCAAAUAAUUACAGACGUCUCCCUUACAACUCCAUUACAUUCCACGCUUUCAUUGUUGUUCACAGGAUUUUGUCAAUAAUGGCUAACCAUUACAUAAUUGCGUCUUCUUAAUUCUUAAAUAAGAAACGCUCGACAGUAGUGAGCUUCACUUGAACCGCAUUUCAAUUCUCGGCGCAUGAUUCUGCGUGUGGUGCGGCUGGAAACAUAUCAUUUCCGAAAUAUAUAUCUCUGUCAGAUGGGGACCUCGGACUUAGUUUGAAAGAUAAUCAUGCCCGCUGGCUCUCUAAGAAUCUUCUUACCAAAAUGUACAUGACUUCGCCUGAGAUGUAACAUUAUAAUAACAAUAAUAAUGCGUGUGGAUAAAUUAGCGAGGCGGAUUCACUUUCCUCAUAACAGAAGAAAAAGGCAGAAAGACAACGAUCGCAUUGUAUUUUAAUAGUUCUAGUGGGUUCAGUGAACAGCCCUAAAGAUAGGAACUAGGAAUUAAUUAUUUGAAAACUAGUCAAUGAUGGCUCAGAAAAAAAAAUCUUGACAUGACAUUGGUCUCUUUUGGAUAAUUAUAAGCAGGAUAACAUUAUUGUAGUCCGUAGAAGGUAAAAAUCACAUUCGUCCAACCAAAUUCCAAAGCAGUUGCAAUGAAUCAUCAAAACGACAAAAGAAAAAAAAAAUGAGGGGGGUUAAUCACAAAACAACUAUUAUGGCACGCAAAGGAUUCAGGAACAUGCGAUACUAAAGAAAGGGCAGCUAUAACCACUAGGGCCUGGUUUAAUGGUUAGAGCCCGCACAGAAGAUUAAAAUAUGAGCGGUGUUGUAUAAAAUUUGAUGUAAAUUAGUCUCAGUAAUUAUAAAUUUGUAAAUAUUCUGAAUAAUAAUCUCUUAAAAAAAGAAGAAGAAAGGGCAGCUAUUUAUAACUUAAAAGUGGAGCUUUUUGGCCAUUGCCAUUGCCAGCCAAUUGUGACAAAUCAUUUUGCCAUUGGACUUCUUCUUCUCCAGAUGAUUAGGAAAGUGCCGCAAAUAUUAUGUCACAUGCCAACAACAGUGAGUUAAAAGUUCACACAAACGUCACAACACAACGCCUGAAUUCGAUCGCAUCGGCGGGCAUACACUAUCAAAAUUUUGCUUUGUUACCUACAGACUACAGUUGGUUGAUAGUAUUUAAUAAAAUUUCAAUUUUAAUUUGUUAUGGGAAUUCUUGUUGUGUUAAUGUUUCGCUUUCGUGGGAAUCGUCUUUUUCUCGUGGGCUCAUUUAAUAUCAGUUCGGGAGGGAUCGCUCUGUAAGUAAUUAAUUAAUUAUUAUUAUUAUUAUUAAUUAUAAAUGAAAUUUCAUUGCAGUGUUUUGACAGCAUUUAUUUCAUUAGCUUUUAAAUUAUUUUUAGUCCAUUUAGUACCAUGAUAUUAAAAAUUGGCAAUCGAAAUCACUGUCUAACCUACAACAGCUAUUUAGUAUUUAUAAAGAACCUUCGCCAUGUUUGGAAUUAACAACGCCGCAUACGUAAUAAUCUGGAUAAGAAAAUGAUCAUAAUUGCUUUAAAAGGAAGAAAAUCAUUUGCUGUACUUAAAAAAAAAAAAAAAAAAAAGGGAUGGAAAUUAGUGAUCAUCUAAUCAACGUUUAAUUGUAAAGUUUCUACUCAAAGUCUGCCCCAUUAACUGCGAUAUAAAUGAAUUACUUUUUCAGCUUUGAUUACGGCAAUCAAAUCUCCCACACUCUCCCGUCAUUUAAAUUAAAGCCACCCACCUCUUUCAAACGGUGCGUAUUAUCCAUCGUGACUUCAUGCGGCCCAAAACCCUCGCACGCGCACACUCACGUGCCGACAUCUGAUACCCGUGCGCAUUACACACGCUGCGUAUUUUACCGAAUACAGUAAUUUUUUUAAAAAUUUAACAGUAAGAAAUAACGAAAUCACAGCUAAUUUGUAAAAUCCCCUCCAUUUUCUCGUUCUCCAGUCGCUUUUGUCCUCUUCAGCAACAGCUUGGAUGUUCCAUCAAGUCUAGUCUAGGGUUUCCUUAUUCUUUUCUCACCAGUCUGUUAUUUUUCCGAGAAAAGAUUAAGAAAAAAAAAUGCGAGAGAAUUUGGGAGGAGCAAUUGUUUGUUUUUCGUUUUCGUCUAAAAAAAAUUUUCUGUCUCGGUAGUGGUUUCUAGGGCCUUUGAGUGGAGUUUUUUCACGUUCUUUUAUUGAAAAUGCCGGCUCAACGAUCCAAGUCCGAGAGAACCGAUGCGGGAAAGCAGCUCCGGCGGGACCCCUACGAGGUUCUCGGCGUCUCCAGGAACUGUACGGAUCAAGAAAUCAAGAGCGCCUACAGGAAAAUGGCUCUCAAGUAUGUCUUUUUUUUUUUUAAAGGUUUUUUUCUUCUUUGUGGCGUUUUCAUCGUGUAAUUCAUUUGCUACCGUGAAGUUCUUUGUUUAAGUAUUUUAUUCAAAAUAAAUUGUUUUAUUGUUAUUGUUAAUAUAUGAUUUGAAUUUGCUCGUGUUAAUGUAGACAUUGCGAUGGUAAAUACUAAAUAAUAUGAAUAUAUCAGAGUAAGAAGAAGAAUUAAAAUGAGCUAGAUUUUGAAGUGACAUAGUGUAGCUCGAAGUUGAGGCGGAACUUUGUCGCCUAUGUUGGUGGUUGGGAAGUUUACAGUCUGUUGGUGAUUGCUUAGGUCAAAGUUAUGGGCUUAACAUAGUCAUUACCUCGGUCCCUUGUCUCAUGGCAGAAUGCAGAUCCCGCUAAUUUGCUAUCUGAAUGGAGAAGAUUAAGGAAACUAGUUAUGAGAAACAAUGGCACUUCAUCGAGUGAGAUAUAUAGAUAGCUCAAGGAUACUUGCUAUUAGUGUUGCUGGUCUUUUGUAGUUUUAAUGACGACAUCUCUAACCUGUAUAAUAAUCGAGAUAGAGUAAAAAUCUGAAGGUGCAACUUUGAUUUACUGAUUUUGUCAUUCAAACCAGCUUUGCAUUGCAUUUUAACUUUGAAAAGGAGCAAUGUGUUCUGUUAAUGUGGUCGUUUUAUACUUUAGUCUCGUGUAGUGUGGUCGAGGUGCCUCAGUUCUAGGAUGAUUAUCUUAAAUUUUCUCUUCAAUGAGCACCACCAUGGAAGUCAUGAUAUUUGAGCUGGAAAUGGCUAGUUCUUUAUGCACAAGGUGGUUUUUAAUGCUGGAACUGUCAAGAAAAGUUGUACUUAAAAAAUUAAUUGGAGAAUGCUAGUGUGAAAAUUGAUUUCAAUAUGAUCAUAUUAGUAUACUGGUUCUUGUUCAGAGGAGCUCUGCCAGAUCAAAUGUUGUGACUGCAUUAUUAUGGAUCAUGGACAUUGAAACCACAUUGAGAAAAGCUUGGAAAAUCAGAAGUCUUGACUACAUUUUUUAUUGAUGACAAAAGAUACUGGAUUAUGAACUAAGAACCUGGUAAGACAAAGGCAGCCUUUACAAAAAUAAGUUGCAGAGAAUGGUGCUUUAAAACUUUCUUAUCAAUUGGAAAAAAAAAAAUGUGGUACUUUCAAACAGAGCCCAUUAGAAAGUGACAUACUACACAGAAAUAUAUCACAUUUUACCUUAAAAGUAGUGCUCAGUGAUCUUUGUUUUUCCAAGAAGCUGUAACUUUGUAAAAAUAAUGUGUAUAGUCUCUAUUAGUUAAUCACAUACUGCAUAAAAACUAUAAAGAAAUGAUAAAAAAAAUAAUGUGUAUAGUCUCUAUUAGUUAAUCACAUACUGCAUAAAAACUAUAAAGAAAUGAUAAAAAAAAUAAUGUGUAUAGUCUCUAUUAGUUAAUCACAUACUGCAUAAAAACUAUAAAGAAAUGAUAAAAAAAAUAAUGUGUAUAGUCUCUAUUAGUUAAUCACAUACUGCAUAAAAACUAUAAAGAAAUGAUAAAAAAAAUAAUGUGUAUAGUCUCUAUUAGUUAAUCACAUACUGCAUAAAAACUAUAAAGAAAUGAUAAAAAAAAUAAUGUGUAUAGUCUCUAUUAGUUAAUCACAUACUGCAUAAAAACUAUAAAGAAAUGAUAAAAAAAAUAAUGUGUAUAGUCUCUAUUAGUUAAUCACAUACUGCAUAAAAACUAUAAAGAAAUGAUAAAAAAAAUAAUGUGUAUAGUCUCUAUUAGUUAAUCACAUACUGCAUAAAAACUAUAAAGAAAUGAUAAAAAAAAUAAUGUGUAUAGUCUCUAUUAGUUAAUCACAUACUGUAGUAACUUUUUAGCAUAUGCAUUUUCUUUUGGGGGGGUGCUAGUCUGGGGGGCUAGCCUUGAUAGGUACCUGUCCGUAAAAAGGCAUGUUGGACACACUCCUCAUACCAUCCAUAGAGAUGUCAUAUUUGUUCGACAUUUAAGCUCCAGUCAUUUUGAAUUGUUCGGUCAAGACAGCAAUCAUUAGCCCUUCUUGAUAUUUCCUUUGAUGCUUUUCUGGCUUUUUAGUUCCAAUUUCAUUGUAAGGCGUGGUGUAUUGAUUGUAAAUGACAUGACAAGAUGCAUUUAUUAUUUACUGUUUUAUUUUCUUCCACAUAGUAUUUUUUUGUUUCUUCCAUUUAUUUGAUGAUAUAUAUUAUUGUAAAUGCUAACAUAUAACUGUUAUAGGUACCAUCCUGAUAAGAAUGCAAAUGACCCUGUAGCAGCUGAUAUUUUUAAGGAGGUUACAUUUUCCUAUAAUAUCUUGUCAGAUCCUGACAAAAGACGACAGUAUGACACCGCUGGUUUUGAGGUGAGAUGAACACAAGGGGCUAAUUUGUGAUUUUUUUUUUAAUGAUUUCAUCAACUAUUUCAAUCACUGCUGUACGGCCAAGGCCGAUGUACGGUACAGCAGCGGAACUUUGUCGCCUAUGUUGGUGGUUGGGAAGUUUACAGUCUGUUGGUGAUUGCUUAGGUCAAAGUUAUGGGCUUAACAUAGUCAUUACCUCGGUCCCUUGUCUCAUGGCAGAAUGCAGAUCCCGCUAAUUUGCUAUCUGAAUGGAGAAGAUUAAGGAAACUAGUUAUGAGAAACAAUGGCACUUCAUCGAGUGAGAUAUAUAGAUAGCUCAAGGAUACUUGCUAUUAGUGUUGCUGGUCUUUUGUAGUUUUAAUGACGACAUCUCUAACCUGUAUAAUAAUCGAGAUAGAGUAAAAAUCUGAAGGUGCAACUUUGAUUUACUGAUUUUGUCAUUCAAACCAGCUUUGCAUUGCAUUUUAACUUUGAAAAGGAGCAAUGUGUUCUGUUAAUGUGGUCGUUUUAUACUUUAGUCUCGUGUAGUGUGGUCGAGGUGCCUCAGUUCUAGGAUGAUUAUCUUAAAUUUUCUCUUCAAUGAGCACCACCAUGGAAGUCAUGAUAUUUGAGCUGGAAAUGGCUAGUUCUUUAUGCACAAGGUGGUUUUUAAUGCUGGAACUGUCAAGAAAAGUUGUACUUAAAAAAUUAAUUGGAGAAUGCUAGUGUGAAAAUUGAUUUCAAUAUGAUCAUAUUAGUAUACUGGUUCUUGUUCAGAGGAGCUCUGCCAGAUCAAAUGUUGUGACUGCAUUAUUAUGGAUCAUGGACAUUGAAACCACAUUGAGAAAAGCUUGGAAAAUCAGAAGUCUUGACUACAUUUUUUAUUGAUGACAAAAGAUACUGGAUUAUGAACUAAGAACCUGGUAAGACAAAGGCAGCCUUUACAAAAAUAAGUUGCAGAGAAUGGUGCUUUAAAACUUUCUUAUCAAUUGGAAAAAAAAAAAUGUGGUACUUUCAAACAGAGCCCAUUAGAAAGUGACAUACUACACAGAAAUAUAUCACAUUUUACCUUAAAAGUAGUGCUCAGUGAUCUUUGUUUUUCCAAGAAGCUGUAACUUUGUAAAAAUAAUGUGUAUAGUCUCUAUUAGUUAAUCACAUACUGCAUAAAAACUAUAAAGAAAUGAUAAAAAAAAUAAUGUGUAUAGUCUCUAUUAGUUAAUCACAUACUGCAUAAAAACUAUAAAGAAAUGAUAAAAAAAAUAAUGUGUAUAGUCUCUAUUAGUUAAUCACAUACUGCAUAAAAACUAUAAAGAAAUGAUAAAAAAAAUAAUGUGUAUAGUCUCUAUUAGUUAAUCACAUACUGCAUAAAAACUAUAAAGAAAUGAUAAAAAAAAUAAUGUGUAUAGUCUCUAUUAGUUAAUCACAUACUGCAUAAAAACUAUAAAGAAAUGAUAAAAAAAAUAAUGUGUAUAGUCUCUAUUAGUUAAUCACAUACUGCAUAAAAACUAUAAAGAAAUGAUAAAAAAAAUAAUGUGUAUAGUCUCUAUUAGUUAAUCACAUACUGCAUAAAAACUAUAAAGAAAUGAUAAAAAAAAUAAUGUGUAUAGUCUCUAUUAGUUAAUCACAUACUGCAUAAAAACUAUAAAGAAAUGAUAAAAAAAAUAAUGUGUAUAGUCUCUAUUAGUUAAUCACAUACUGUAGUAACUUUUUAGCAUAUGCAUUUUCUUUUGGGGGGGUGCUAGUCUGGGGGGCUAGCCUUGAUAGGUACCUGUCCGUAAAAAGGCAUGUUGGACACACUCCUCAUACCAUCCAUAGAGAUGUCAUAUUUGUUCGACAUUUAAGCUCCAGUCAUUUUGAAUUGUUCGGUCAAGACAGCAAUCAUUAGCCCUUCUUGAUAUUUCCUUUGAUGCUUUUCUGGCUUUUUAGUUCCAAUUUCAUUGUAAGGCGUGGUGUAUUGAUUGUAAAUGACAUGACAAGAUGCAUUUAUUAUUUACUGUUUUAUUUUCUUCCACAUAGUAUUUUUUUGUUUCUUCCAUUUAUUUGAUGAUAUAUAUUAUUGUAAAUGCUAACAUAUAACUGUUAUAGGUACCAUCCUGAUAAGAAUGCAAAUGACCCUGUAGCAGCUGAUAUUUUUAAGGAGGUUACAUUUUCCUAUAAUAUCUUGUCAGAUCCUGACAAAAGACGACAGUAUGACACCGCUGGUUUUGAGGUGAGAUGAACACAAGGGGCUAAUUUGUGAUUUUUUUUUUAAUGAUUUCAUCAACUAUUUCAAUCACUGCUGUACGGCCAAGGCCGAUGUACGGUACAGCAGCGGAACUUUGUCGCCUAUGUUGGUGGUUGGGAAGUUUACAGUCUGUUGGUGAUUGCUUAGGUCAAAGUUAUGGGCUUAACAUAGUCAUUACCUCGGUCCCUUGUCUCAUGGCAGAAUGCAGAUCCCGCUAAUUUGCUAUCUGAAUGGAGAAGAUUAAGGAAACUAGUUAUGAGAAACAAUGGCACUUCAUCGAGUGAGAUAUAUAGAUAGCUCAAGGAUACUUGCUAUUAGUGUUGCUGGUCUUUUGUAGUUUUAAUGACGACAUCUCUAACCUGUAUAAUAAUCGAGAUAGAGUAAAAAUCUGAAGGUGCAACUUUGAUUUACUGAUUUUGUCAUUCAAACCAGCUUUGCAUUGCAUUUUAACUUUGAAAAGGAGCAAUGUGUUCUGUUAAUGUGGUCGUUUUAUACUUUAGUCUCGUGUAGUGUGGUCGAGGUGCCUCAGUUCUAGGAUGAUUAUCUUAAAUUUUCUCUUCAAUGAGCACCACCAUGGAAGUCAUGAUAUUUGAGCUGGAAAUGGCUAGUUCUUUAUGCACAAGGUGGUUUUUAAUGCUGGAACUGUCAAGAAAAGUUGUACUUAAAAAAUUAAUUGGAGAAUGCUAGUGUGAAAAUUGAUUUCAAUAUGAUCAUAUUAGUAUACUGGUUCUUGUUCAGAGGAGCUCUGCCAGAUCAAAUGUUGUGACUGCAUUAUUAUGGAUCAUGGACAUUGAAACCACAUUGAGAAAAGCUUGGAAAAUCAGAAGUCUUGACUACAUUUUUUAUUGAUGACAAAAGAUACUGGAUUAUGAACUAAGAACCUGGUAAGACAAAGGCAGCCUUUACAAAAAUAAGUUGCAGAGAAUGGUGCUUUAAAACUUUCUUAUCAAUUGGAAAAAAAAAAAUGUGGUACUUUCAAACAGAGCCCAUUAGAAAGUGACAUACUACACAGAAAUAUAUCACAUUUUACCUUAAAAGUAGUGCUCAGUGAUCUUUGUUUUUCCAAGAAGCUGUAACUUUGUAAAAAUAAUGUGUAUAGUCUCUAUUAGUUAAUCACAUACUGCAUAAAAACUAUAAAGAAAUGAUAAAAAAAAUAAUGUGUAUAGUCUCUAUUAGUUAAUCACAUACUGCAUAAAAACUAUAAAGAAAUGAUAAAAAAAAUAAUGUGUAUAGUCUCUAUUAGUUAAUCACAUACUGCAUAAAAACUAUAAAGAAAUGAUAAAAAAAAUAAUGUGUAUAGUCUCUAUUAGUUAAUCACAUACUGCAUAAAAACUAUAAAGAAAUGAUAAAAAAAAUAAUGUGUAUAGUCUCUAUUAGUUAAUCACAUACUGCAUAAAAACUAUAAAGAAAUGAUAAAAAAAAUAAUGUGUAUAGUCUCUAUUAGUUAAUCACAUACUGCAUAAAAACUAUAAAGAAAUGAUAAAAAAAAUAAUGUGUAUAGUCUCUAUUAGUUAAUCACAUACUGCAUAAAAACUAUAAAGAAAUGAUAAAAAAAAUAAUGUGUAUAGUCUCUAUUAGUUAAUCACAUACUGCAUAAAAACUAUAAAGAAAUGAUAAAAAAAAUAAUGUGUAUAGUCUCUAUUAGUUAAUCACAUACUGUAGUAACUUUUUAGCAUAUGCAUUUUCUUUUGGGGGGGUGCUAGUCUGGGGGGCUAGCCUUGAUAGGUACCUGUCCGUAAAAAGGCAUGUUGGACACACUCCUCAUACCAUCCAUAGAGAUGUCAUAUUUGUUCGACAUUUAAGCUCCAGUCAUUUUGAAUUGUUCGGUCAAGACAGCAAUCAUUAGCCCUUCUUGAUAUUUCCUUUGAUGCUUUUCUGGCUUUUUAGUUCCAAUUUCAUUGUAAGGCGUGGUGUAUUGAUUGUAAAUGACAUGACAAGAUGCAUUUAUUAUUUACUGUUUUAUUUUCUUCCACAUAGUAUUUUUUUGUUUCUUCCAUUUAUUUGAUGAUAUAUAUUAUUGUAAAUGCUAACAUAUAACUGUUAUAGGUACCAUCCUGAUAAGAAUGCAAAUGACCCUGUAGCAGCUGAUAUUUUUAAGGAGGUUACAUUUUCCUAUAAUAUCUUGUCAGAUCCUGACAAAAGACGACAGUAUGACACCGCUGGUUUUGAGGUGAGAUGAACACAAGGGGCUAAUUUGUGAUUUUUUUUUUAAUGAUUUCAUCAACUAUUUCAAUCACUGCUGUACGGCCAAGGCCGAUGUACGGUACAGCAGCGGAACUUUGUCGCCUAUGUUGGUGGUUGGGAAGUUUACAGUCUGUUGGUGAUUGCUUAGGUCAAAGUUAUGGGCUUAACAUAGUCAUUACCUCGGUCCCUUGUCUCAUGGCAGAAUGCAGAUCCCGCUAAUUUGCUAUCUGAAUGGAGAAGAUUAAGGAAACUAGUUAUGAGAAACAAUGGCACUUCAUCGAGUGAGAUAUAUAGAUAGCUCAAGGAUACUUGCUAUUAGUGUUGCUGGUCUUUUGUAGUUUUAAUGACGACAUCUCUAACCUGUAUAAUAAUCGAGAUAGAGUAAAAAUCUGAAGGUGCAACUUUGAUUUACUGAUUUUGUCAUUCAAACCAGCUUUGCAUUGCAUUUUAACUUUGAAAAGGAGCAAUGUGUUCUGUUAAUGUGGUCGUUUUAUACUUUAGUCUCGUGUAGUGUGGUCGAGGUGCCUCAGUUCUAGGAUGAUUAUCUUAAAUUUUCUCUUCAAUGAGCACCACCAUGGAAGUCAUGAUAUUUGAGCUGGAAAUGGCUAGUUCUUUAUGCACAAGGUGGUUUUUAAUGCUGGAACUGUCAAGAAAAGUUGUACUUAAAAAAUUAAUUGGAGAAUGCUAGUGUGAAAAUUGAUUUCAAUAUGAUCAUAUUAGUAUACUGGUUCUUGUUCAGAGGAGCUCUGCCAGAUCAAAUGUUGUGACUGCAUUAUUAUGGAUCAUGGACAUUGAAACCACAUUGAGAAAAGCUUGGAAAAUCAGAAGUCUUGACUACAUUUUUUAUUGAUGACAAAAGAUACUGGAUUAUGAACUAAGAACCUGGUAAGACAAAGGCAGCCUUUACAAAAAUAAGUUGCAGAGAAUGGUGCUUUAAAACUUUCUUAUCAAUUGGAAAAAAAAAAAUGUGGUACUUUCAAACAGAGCCCAUUAGAAAGUGACAUACUACACAGAAAUAUAUCACAUUUUACCUUAAAAGUAGUGCUCAGUGAUCUUUGUUUUUCCAAGAAGCUGUAACUUUGUAAAAAUAAUGUGUAUAGUCUCUAUUAGUUAAUCACAUACUGCAUAAAAACUAUAAAGAAAUGAUAAAAAAAAUAAUGUGUAUAGUCUCUAUUAGUUAAUCACAUACUGCAUAAAAACUAUAAAGAAAUGAUAAAAAAAAUAAUGUGUAUAGUCUCUAUUAGUUAAUCACAUACUGCAUAAAAACUAUAAAGAAAUGAUAAAAAAAAUAAUGUGUAUAGUCUCUAUUAGUUAAUCACAUACUGCAUAAAAACUAUAAAGAAAUGAUAAAAAAAAUAAUGUGUAUAGUCUCUAUUAGUUAAUCACAUACUGCAUAAAAACUAUAAAGAAAUGAUAAAAAAAAUAAUGUGUAUAGUCUCUAUUAGUUAAUCACAUACUGCAUAAAAACUAUAAAGAAAUGAUAAAAAAAAUAAUUUUAAAAAAAAAAAAAAAAAAAAGGGAUGGAAAUUAGUGAUCAUCUAAUCAACGUUUAAUUGUAAAGUUUCUACUCAAAGUCUGCCCCAUUAACUGCGAUAUAAAUGAAUUACUUUUUCAGCUUUGAUUACGGCAAUCAAAUCUCCCACACUCUCCCGUCAUUUAAAUUAAAGCCACCCACCUCUUUCAAACGGUGCGUAUUAUCCAUCGUGACUUCAUGCGGCCCAAAACCCUCGCACGCGCACACUCACGUGCCGACAUCUGAUACCCGUGCGCAUUACACACGCUGCGUAUUUUACCGAAUACAGUAAUUUUUUUAAAAAUUUAACAGUAAGAAAUAACGAAAUCACAGCUAAUUUGUAAAAUCCCCUCCAUUUUCUCGUUCUCCAGUCGCUUUUGUCCUCUUCAGCAACAGCUUGGAUGUUCCAUCAAGUCUAGUCUAGGGUUUCCUUAUUCUUUUCUCACCAGUCUGUUAUUUUUCCGAGAAAAGAUUAAGAAAAAAAAAUGCGAGAGAAUUUGGGAGGAGCAAUUGUUUGUUUUUCGUUUUCGUCUAAAAAAAAUUUUCUGUCUCGGUAGUGGUUUCUAGGGCCUUUGAGUGGAGUUUUUUCACGUUCUUUUAUUGAAAAUGCCGGCUCAACGAUCCAAGUCCGAGAGAACCGAUGCGGGAAAGCAGCUCCGGCGGGACCCCUACGAGGUUCUCGGCGUCUCCAGGAACUGUACGGAUCAAGAAAUCAAGAGCGCCUACAGGAAAAUGGCUCUCAAGUAUGUCUUUUUUUUUUUUAAAGGUUUUUUUCUUCUUUGUGGCGUUUUCAUCGUGUAAUUCAUUUGCUACCGUGAAGUUCUUUGUUUAAGUAUUUUAUUCAAAAUAAAUUGUUUUAUUGUUAUUGUUAAUAUAUGAUUUGAAUUUGCUCGUGUUAAUGUAGACAUUGCGAUGGUAAAUACUAAAUAAUAUGAAUAUAUCAGAGUAAGAAGAAGAAUUAAAAUGAGCUAGAUUUUGAAGUGACAUAGUGUAGCUCGAAGUUGAGGCGGAACUUUGUCGCCUAUGUUGGUGGUUGGGAAGUUUACAGUCUGUUGGUGAUUGCUUAGGUCAAAGUUAUGGGCUUAACAUAGUCAUUACCUCGGUCCCUUGUCUCAUGGCAGAAUGCAGAUCCCGCUAAUUUGCUAUCUGAAUGGAGAAGAUUAAGGAAACUAGUUAUGAGAAACAAUGGCACUUCAUCGAGUGAGAUAUAUAGAUAGCUCAAGGAUACUUGCUAUUAGUGUUGCUGGUCUUUUGUAGUUUUAAUGACGACAUCUCUAACCUGUAUAAUAAUCGAGAUAGAGUAAAAAUCUGAAGGUGCAACUUUGAUUUACUGAUUUUGUCAUUCAAACCAGCUUUGCAUUGCAUUUUAACUUUGAAAAGGAGCAAUGUGUUCUGUUAAUGUGGUCGUUUUAUACUUUAGUCUCGUGUAGUGUGGUCGAGGUGCCUCAGUUCUAGGAUGAUUAUCUUAAAUUUUCUCUUCAAUGAGCACCACCAUGGAAGUCAUGAUAUUUGAGCUGGAAAUGGCUAGUUCUUUAUGCACAAGGUGGUUUUUAAUGCUGGAACUGUCAAGAAAAGUUGUACUUAAAAAAUUAAUUGGAGAAUGCUAGUGUGAAAAUUGAUUUCAAUAUGAUCAUAUUAGUAUACUGGUUCUUGUUCAGAGGAGCUCUGCCAGAUCAAAUGUUGUGACUGCAUUAUUAUGGAUCAUGGACAUUGAAACCACAUUGAGAAAAGCUUGGAAAAUCAGAAGUCUUGACUACAUUUUUUAUUGAUGACAAAAGAUACUGGAUUAUGAACUAAGAACCUGGUAAGACAAAGGCAGCCUUUACAAAAAUAAGUUGCAGAGAAUGGUGCUUUAAAACUUUCUUAUCAAUUGGAAAAAAAAAAAUGUGGUACUUUCAAACAGAGCCCAUUAGAAAGUGACAUACUACACAGAAAUAUAUCACAUUUUACCUUAAAAGUAGUGCUCAGUGAUCUUUGUUUUUCCAAGAAGCUGUAACUUUGUAAAAAUAAUGUGUAUAGUCUCUAUUAGUUAAUCACAUACUGUAGUAACUUUUUAGCAUAUGCAUUUUCUUUUGGGGGGGUGCUAGUCUGGGGGGCUAGCCUUGAUAGGUACCUGUCCGUAAAAAGGCAUGUUGGACACACUCCUCAUACCAUCCAUAGAGAUGUCAUAUUUGUUCGACAUUUAAGCUCCAGUCAUUUUGAAUUGUUCGGUCAAGACAGCAAUCAUUAGCCCUUCUUGAUAUUUCCUUUGAUGCUUUUCUGGCUUUUUAGUUCCAAUUUCAUUGUAAGGCGUGGUGUAUUGAUUGUAAAUGACAUGACAAGAUGCAUUUAUUAUUUACUGUUUUAUUUUCUUCCACAUAGUAUUUUUUUGUUUCUUCCAUUUAUUUGAUGAUAUAUAUUAUUGUAAAUGCUAACAUAUAACUGUUAUAGGUACCAUCCUGAUAAGAAUGCAAAUGACCCUGUAGCAGCUGAUAUUUUUAAGGAGGUUACAUUUUCCUAUAAUAUCUUGUCAGAUCCUGACAAAAGACGACAGUAUGACACCGCUGGUUUUGAGGUGAGAUGAACACAAGGGGCUAAUUUGUGAUUUUUUUUUUAAUGAUUUCAUCAACUAUUUCAAUCAUACAUUUGGAUGCGUGGGUUAGCAUGAAAUCAGUUGUGGAUGUGAUGAUAAUUUUCCAUAGGCUGUUGAAUCAGAAAGUCAAGAAUUGGAGCUAGAUCUUUCUAGUUUGGGAGCUGUGAACACCAUGUUUGCUGCACUUUUUAGGUAUAUUCUUUGUGAAUAUUUUCUUCUAUUCUUUAGAACUUUUCUGCAACUUGUGAAAUCAUUCCAAUGAUUUGAGUGGAAUGGCUUUUUCAAAAUAGUAAACUUGGUGUGCCAAUCAAGACCACUGUAUCGGCUACUGUCUUGGAGGAGGCACUUAAUGGCAUGGUAACUGUUCGUCCACUACUGCUUGAUCAACAUAUAACCAGGAAGGUAGGCAUUCUUAUUUCUUAGCUGCUACUGCUGUUAAGUUGUGUACUGAUUGAAUUGUUUUGCAUCUGAACAGGUUGAAAAGCAAUGUGCUCAUUUCUAUUCUGUUACAAUAACAGAAGAGGAAGCACGGGCUGGAUUCGUGUGCCGAGUGCAAUCAUCUGACAAAAGCAAAUUCAAGGUUUAUAAGAAUUCUGUCUCUAUUCCUCUGGGAACUAUACACUCGUUUUCAUCUUCUACACUGCUUUUCAGUUCUUUUUGAACGCAAGGCUUGACAAGCUAAUAAUAAUUGUUCUUUAAACUAAAUUCAAACUAGUGUGCUUUGUUUAUUUUAUAUUUGUAGCGUUUGUAAAAUCAAAUAAUAACAGGGAUAAGGAACUUUGGAUACACCACGUGUAACUUUUAGUUAUAGUUAAACUUUAGUAGAACCAUCUUUCGAUUGAGUAGCAAGAGAAAGUAUGUGCAGCCUGGGUAACUUCUUUUCACAACUCAUAUAGACCUUAUUUUUUAAAAAAAAAUUAAAAAAGCAAGUGGUAUUUUGGCGCUCAUAAACUUUUGGAAUAUUGUUGUUAUCACUUUAUUAAUACUAAUUGUCUAUUUUCUGAAUUACUUAAUGCAUUAUUAGUCAAAGGCUGAUCAUUUCUGUGAAGAGCUAAUUGCACAUAUGCUAGCAUGCUUCUUUCUUUGGUUGACCACAAAGGACUGUUGUAUCCAUAUCCUCUUGAGUAUAAAAAUCUUUCAUAUGGAAUCAGGAAUUGGUGAAAUUUCAGUCCUACUUGUUUAUUGUCUGAUUUCUUAUGUGCUAUAUUGUAAAAUUUAUAUUUUAUUUCAUCUUUUCUCCUAAAGCAGGUGUUCUAACUCAUUGGCUUUGUGCAGUUAUUGUACUUUGAUCGGGAAGGGACUGGUGGACUGAGCCUUGCACUUCAGGUAUUGAGCAGGUUUCUUUUCCUUUUUUUAAUCUCCUUUUGUGAAGUAUAGAUAAUAUACACACUCCUUUUAUAUAUUUUUUCCCUCUCUGUAAGAUUGCGCUCACAUUGUUUAUGAUGAUUUCUUUCUGGUGUAGGAGGAUUGCACAAAAACUGGAAAGGUUACGUCUGCUGGCAUGUAUUUUCUUGGUUUCCCAGUUUACCGGUUGGAUCAAACAGCCACCUCGGUGAGUUGAUUGUGUUGUAAAUAAAUCUUAAUUUAUUUUCAUCUCCACGUUUAUGUUUGCUUACUAUUUCUCUCGGUUUGGGAAUUAUUGUGGCUCUAGAUGGCGGCUGCAAAAGAUCCAGAUGCUGCCUUCUUUAAAAAACUGGAUGGGUUUCAGCCCUGUGAAAUAACUGAAUUGAAGGCUGGCACCCAUGUGUUUGCUGUUUAUGGUCAGUUCCUUAGCUUUUCUGUUCAGUUAGAUUUCUUUUCCAAAUAAUGCAUUUGGUGAAACCUUACCAACUGCCUUUUUAUUCUGUCACAUAUCUUUUAGGUGACAAUUUUUUUAAAAGUGCAAGCUACAUGAUAGAAGCCCUUUGUGCUGCCCCUUUUACAGAAGAAAAAGAGAAUCUUAGAGCUGUAGAAGCUGAAAUUCUGUCUAAAAGAGCGGAACUAUCAAAGUUUGAGAGUGAAUACAGAGAGGUGGAAACUUUGACACAUCCAGUGCAUAUCCAAUAUUAAAUCUUUAUUUUAGUUAUUCACUUGGAAAUAUUGACAGGUCCUGGCACAAUUUACAGAGAUGACCAGUAGAUAUGCACAAGAAAUGCAAGCAGUAAGAUUAACUUUGCGGAAACCUUGUGCCUGAACAUCUUUUGAGAAUUAGAUUCAUACAUUUGUAGUUGCUUAAAUGCAAUUUGCUUUGUAGAUUGAUGAGCUUCUAAAGCAGAGAAAUGAAAUUCAUGCCUCGUACACAACUGCCCCGCCAAUGAAGCGGAGUGCGAGUAAGAAUAGAAGUCGAGGCUCCCCCAAGGAGACUAAAGAAGAAGGCCAAGUGAGAGAUAAGAAACCUACAAUGAGGGAUAGACCGAAGAAGAAGAAGUGGUUCAAUAUCCACCUAAAAGCUGACAAGCGAAACAAAUGCUAAAACUGGGUAUGAUUGUCAUGUAAGCUUUCCUAAACUUGUUUCUAUUUUAAAUUUAAUAGUAAUUGAAGUAGGCUUUCACUUGUACUGUGCUAAUUUAAAAUAGUGUCGGACUCUACCACCCUUAGAUGAAAACUUGCGCAAUCAUCCUAUGUUUCGAUGAUUUGGCAUCUGUAUGAGCAAAGAAAGAGACUAAACGAUUCCUACUUCAGCAUACACUAGUCGAUGACAAAGUGACGGCAAAAGUUGUGCUGAUGGUGCAGUUUCUUGGGCAUGUAAAGGAUGAGAACAGCUCAUUGUUAUUGUAAAAUUCCUUCGUUUUGUGUUGCCCAGGUCAUUCUCUUGUUAACUUUUUCCCCUCAAUUUUUAGGAGCGUUCAUGUAAAUGCAUAAAUGAUUAUUGAAGAUUCUUCCUGUUACCUCUUUGCAAGGACUGUUUGAUUUUAAAAGAAAAAAGAAAAUUGAAAAAUUAGUCCGCUUCAGGGGCAUUCCACGUUUUGACCACCGUAUGUUCAUGUUAGUUUGCUGAGAGAUCACCGUGAUGCCUUAUCAUUUGUUUUCCAUUUUUGGUGUUCGCAUCACUAUUUGCUUUGUGUAUCUAGGCUCGUCUGUCUUAAGUAACAUUUACGAGCGGUGGGGGUGGGGAAGUCACUUUUACCUGGAGAAAACCUGAAACAUAGUACACCAUAACUUUUUUUUUUUCCCUCUUUUUGAGGGUAGUUCACCAUAAUGUUCAUUUUCUAAGGACAUGGACGUCAACUUGCGACGCAGCACUCGACACUAAUACUAAAUAAAAUCCCCAGCUACCCUAUCAUUCACCAUUCAAUUUUGUCCUUUUACAGAUCCCCUAAAUAACGAUCUUUUGCCACUUGAUGAGCAUUCAAAUUUGUAAACUCGUGGCAUCUAUGCCUCACCUCUCCAUCAUUUCCUUGCUUAAGAUUAUAAACACCGAGCUUCUCCAUUGCGUUAGCAAACGCUUGAAAGAAUGCUGUCUCAUUGGCCGCAUACAAAUCCACAAACGGCUUAGUCCUACCGUCCACGGCUAUAUCUUGAUCAGUUUGCAACAAUCCCAACCCAUGUUUCAGAUUCUUGUAAUACAUGUUAUCAAAUUUUCCCGGCGUGAACACGUCAAUAAAUGCCGACAUCUCAGGCUGCUUAGUGUAAUUCUCACAAAGUUUCCGCAAACGAUCGGCGUAUUGAGGAUUCAUGGCAGGGUCAGAUUGUGAAGUCUUGCUGAAGUUGAAUAUUCUGUCAGCAAACUCUUUGCAAUGGGCGAAUCCUAUAGUGUGUCCACCAACAAGAGCAACCAUUUCUUGCACUGAAAGCCCUUUAGAGCCGAAGACAUCAAUAAUUUGAGAUAACGAAAGAUUAGUGGUAGGGAUAUUGCCUUGAACGUGAGAAGCAUCAGAAACAAUGCUAUCUUUACGUCCCAAAAGGACUUUAUAAUGGGGGCCACCCACCAUAACAAGAAGGUUACGCGUUGCCACAGAAAUGAUAUCAGAACAUGAGACAACGCCGGGACAUUGUAGCUCAAGGGCUGUUUUUGCACGUGUUACUAGGUCAAACGCAUCCCCCGGGAGGGGGAGGUUGACGUCGGCAUCUCGCUCGGACUUAUGGAAGGCGUUGGAGGUGAUGAGGACGGAUGCAUCACAGCCGUCGACUAAGCAGUCAUGGAGGAAGAGGCGGAGGACGCCGGCGGCUGUCGCGGGGGCAGAGAGUUGCUUGUCCGUAAUGACUUGUUGCAUUAUUAGUGGGAACUGAGGGCAUGUGCUGUUGUAGUAGUUAAGAGCAAGUUGGGAUUGUGUACGUUGAAUAAUUGUCAAGAAGGAACACGAGAUCAGAACGAUGGAAAUGGAAGAGAAUUGAGCCAUCGUUUGGUAUGAUAAUUGAAGAGAGCAAAAAACAAAUGUGAUGGGGAAAUUAACGUUCAUUUUCUUUUUCUUUAAUUUCUUAUAUAUUGUAGAUUUUGUGGAAGAGAGAGUUUAAAGGAUUACUUCCUAGUUGGUUCGCUCAUACAUACAUGGUUUAGCUAGCGGUGACUGAUUAAGGGGCUUGAUGUGCCUAUUUUAAUUUGGUCAAUAAUAUCCUUGUGGGGUGGCGAAUUAUUUAGAGGAUUAAUGGAAAUAUAGAAAACUUGAAAUAGAACGAUGCAUCUUAAAAUUAUUUUUAAUCGUAUUCUAAAAAUAAUCGGUUAUGAAGAAAAUUAAUUAAAUGUUUGGUGAAAUUUAUUUUUAAAAGUACUAUGAGUUUUAAAAACAGUCGUAUGAAUUUGAUAAAUGUUACUGUUGAAAUGUUGUAAGAAAAUUUAUUUACACAUUUAUAAACAUGUAUAUAUAAUAAUUGAUAAUUAAAAUAAUUUUUUUAUUCCAUAAAUUUUAUUUUUUUUAUUUUACCAUCUCAAUAGAAUUAGUAACAAUAAUAAUCUUUUUAAAUUUAAUAAUUUUAUUUCCUAGCUAAACGAGGAUAAUUUUGUAUUUUAAUAAUAUAUGUGAGGAUAUAUAUGAACUUGUAUUCAUUAUAAAUUUGAUUUUUAAAAUCAAAUUUUAAAAAAUUACACAUUCUUUACUUUUCAAAAUUUAUGAUAGGAUUGACGAUUUUAUUAAAAGUAUUUUUUUAAAAAAAAAUUACUAAACAUAAAAAUUAAUUUUUAACAUUUUAAAAUUACUUUUAAACCUCUUAAAAACAAUUCCAAAUUAUCCUAAAUGAAUGCGUGUAUGUUCGCUCUGGUGCACACACAGGAAGUGAAUAAAUUUGCAACAGCAUACGCUUUCGGCAAUUUUAUCCAUGUAGGUGUUGUGAUUAAUUGUUGACAUCGAAAUUGACCGCCUCGGCGUCCUGUGGACUCGUGCUGCAAAUAUUACGAUACACGAAAUGUCACGUUACCAGCUGGUUGUGAUUUUUAAACACGAUAUAAUUUGUAUAACAUCAUGUCAUAUGUCACAUUAAUUUAUACUCCAACUUCUUAAAUUAUGAUAUUAUUAUUUAAUUAGCUAUAUGGUAUUGAAUGAUGUAUGCGUUAGUUCUAUUAUUUUAAUUUAGUCCAAAUUCAGAUGGCUUUUUACACAGUAAUUGAUUCGAUCCAAGACUCUUUCUUCGAAGAAAAACAAAAUGUUAGUAAUUUGAUCAAAUAUGGACUUUUAGCUGUUACUAUUUUUAUAAUAUUUAAUAAUGUUUUUGACAUCAUAAUUUUAUAAUAUUAUUUUAAUUUUUAAAUAUAUUUUUAUUCAUAUUUAUUAUAAAUUAAAUAAGUUAUAUAAAUUGAAAUUAUAAUUAAAAAAUUAAUACUGCUGUACCGUACAUCCGCCUUGGCCGUACAGCAGAAAAUCUCGGAAGGCAGGAAAUGGUCAGUGGUGAGUGGCGAGGUGACGAACUGACAAUGACGACACGCGAAAGAAUUGAAAAUUCUUUGGUCGCGAUCACAUCAUCCAACGGUGCAUGAUGGAUAACCAUUAAAGUUGAGCUGGGUCCCACUCAUGUGCAAGUCCUCACCGGACCCAACUUCCGGAGGGCAUACUUUUGGCAUGUGCUUAUAACUUGAACUUUCCUCUUCGGUGGCAUCAUUUCAGGCGUCCCUACAUCACACAGCGCACGGUUGCUUCAUUUUCCUCCACAAAUAGUUAAAUUAAUAUGUUGCACAAUUAUUUCAUGUUACACGAGUUGAGUUCCAAGUAUUCAAUAUAAUUUUUAUCUUCAUUUUUCACACAACAUCGAACGCGGAGCUUGUGAAAGCUAAAUCCGUGAUAAAUCAUCAUGGAUUCAAAUUUUAGAAUAAUGAUAAACGCAGCAUAAAUUAAGUAGAAAUUAAAAAAAAAAAAUCUGUAUCCCAAUUAAUGACAAUGUGUUAGAAAAUACGACUCUAUAAUUACGCGGUUAUUUAACGAUUAAUUAUCCAAAUGGUGAGAUUGUGUUAGGGUCAAAUCAAUUUAUUAUUCCUACACAAGAUGAUUCGCAAAUUAUCACAUAUAUCGACUUUCAACGGUAAAUCUCAACCGCUAAAGCUAAUGAAAGUUCAAUCAUGGUAAUUUGAUUCGUGCGCUCUAUUCACCAGAAUUUACAAAGGAAUCUACUUACUUUUCGGAUAAUGCAUUUAUGUUUAUCCUUUUUUUUUUUAAUUAAAAAAGCGAGAACAUUAAAUUCCUUUUGAAUAAAUGGAUUUUUAAAAAAAAAUGAUAAAAUGAAUGUAAUCUGUAAAAAAGGGUACAGAAAUACAAAUUAUUAAACAUUGACGCGUUUUUAUCACUAAAAAAAAAGAAAUACAAAAUCAAUAAAAUGAAAAAAAGGUGCUCUAAUUAAUUCACGUUCCUACACAACCAAAAAAGAUAGCCUCAAUUCAUGGCCAUCAUGAAAUUGUCAAAAAUCUGCGGUGAUUUAUCAUCCAUGUGAUACAUGAGGCUCAAGCCAAUUUUCCUCUAAUGUACGUAUGCGACAUGGUAGCUUCUUGGUAAUUAAUUCAAAGUAUCGUCUUUGAAAAAUUGUGUCAAAAUUCGACUAAAAUAAAUAAAAUUAUCAUUCUUUUACAAAUAAUUUGCAUAUGUAUGUGGGGCUCCAUCUAAGUUUUGAUCAUGUAUGUAUAAAGUGAGAUUAUUUUAACUUAAAUUGUCAACAUAAAUUUUAAGCCAUUGACCUUACACAAUAUUGAAAAUUAAAAUAAUAUUUAAUGUUAUCAGAUAAUCAACAAUUGGAUUGCGGAAAAUCAAAGACUCAAUUUUAUGUAUUUAUUGUACAUGGGAUCCAGCUACUAGUGGCUUUAUAUAUGUAAAAUUUUAUAAAUUUAUAUAAAAUUGUUAACACAAGUUUUUUUGCUCUUUAAAUUUAUGACAAUGCUCUAGUUCGAUAAAUAUUUAUAUAUUUAUAUUAGUUAUUCUGCCACUCAUUAUUAAAAUUCUCUAACAAAGUUCAAAUUUUUUUUUUAUUUUUCCUUAUAUUUGAAAUUUAAUUAGUCAGCCGGACAAGAUUAUUGACUUGUCAUUCGUAUGUCUGAACCAAUGAAUGAAGUCAUCAAAUAAAAUAAUGUUGACAAUUUUUUAUAUUAUUAAAUUCACCUCUCAUAUACAUUAUCACGAUCGCCAUUAAUAUUUUAUCAAAUGGACAUAUGUAUGAUGAGUGGGUGUAUAAGUUUAUGGGGAGUUUCUUCUAAUAAAAUGAAUAUAUAUCACUUGCCUGUUACUAUUUUUAUAAUAUUUAAUAAUGUUUUUGACAUCAUAAUUUUAUAAUAUUAUUUUAAUUUUUAAAUAUAUUUAGAUUCAUAUUUAUUAUAAAUUAAAUAAGUUAUAUAAAUUGAAAUUAUAAUUAAAAAAUUAAUAUAAAAAAUAAGAAAUACAGGUUUGAUAUGAAUAAAAAAAUCAAUUAUAAAAUAUUUUUCUUUUAUUUUUUAGUCAUUUUAAAAUAUUUUUCUUUAAACAGCAGAAUAAAUAUAUAUUUUACGUAUAUUCAUAAAAUUAUAUAUUAAACAAUGAUCUAUUCACUAAGUGCAUCAAAUUUUCUUUAAUUUUUUUUAAUACAAAAAAAGUUUUGAAUAUUAUGAAACUGAAAUAAGUAGUAUAUAUUAAUUUUAAUUUAGAGAACCGACGAUCUCCAUAUCUAUGUGUACGUAUAUAUUUACGCGCGUGUAUAUACAAUAUUAGUUAAGUUGCGUACUAAUAAAAAGCGAUUGCUCAUAAGAUUACAAAUCCACAACUAUUUCAUCACCAUUCUCCAACUUGGCAAUGGCUUUUCAUCCACUACGACACGCUCUCUUCAUCUUCAUCUCCAUAACUAUCUUUGCUUCUUUGAACUUUCUGCUUUCUUCUAACGAAAAGAGCUUGAAUUUUCAAACAAGCAAAAGUCAAAAUAGUUCCAUAAAAAGCCGGAUAAUUGAGCUGGCCAAUGAUCAAGACACGGUGAACUGGAUGAAAAAGAUGAGGAGGCAAAUUCAUGAGAACCCAGAACUUGCUUACGAAGAGUUUGAGACCAGUGAGCUCAUUAGGCGAGAACUUGACCAACUUGGUAUUGCUUAUCGAUGGCCAGUAGCAAAGACUGGUGUUGUGGCCACCGUUGGAUCUGGCUCUCCUCCUUUUGUUGCUUUAAGAGCGGAUAUGGAUGCUUUGCCAAUUCAGGUCAGUUGUAUAAUUAAUUAAUACUUCAUCAUAUGAUGUAGAUAUUAAAUUUUUGAAGUGCUAGCUUUGAAGAAUAGAAUCUGCACAACACGGCAACAAAAUAAUAUCUUUUAAAAUUGUGUUCUGUGGACUAAAUGUGUUAAGAGCCGUGACCCACAGGUGAGGAAGCUGAUUCUUGGCUGCUUUUGUUAAUUUAAUAAUACACAAUUAGACUGGAACAUGUGAUACAAAGUUUCAACAUAAUAAAACAAAAGUUCAAAUUGGCAGUCAUAAGUAACAAAGAUUUAGAAAGCUUGGCAUCAAAAAGUAUACACCUGACCGCUCUCUCUUUAAUUGUUCUAUUCAUCAUUUCUAGGGGUGGGCACAGGUCGGGUAGCAUGUAGAGCGAGUUGAAAAAUUUCAACCCAACCCAACCCAUUACAUACUGCUGUACCGUACAUCCGCAUAUAUAUAUAUAUAUAUAUAUGUGAUUUUUCAGCGUAGCUCGCUGUAAUUGAUGUCGAUGAUUAGGAGCUUUAAACCAGUAGACCAGCUUGUUAUUUUGUUGAAAAGAAAAAUCAAGGACAGAGAUAUUAAACACGGCGUUAAUAGAUGCUUCUGUGGGACAUAUUGCUGAGAAGCACCCUGUCAUUAAUUACUUCAUGAAGGGCUGAAAGUCGCCACAUUCUUAUUAUUUAAGAAUAUUUUAAUAUGUCCCGCUAUUUUUAAUUUUAUACUGUAAUAAUCGUUAAAUCCCCAGCUGACUUGCUAAGGCAGAUGCUUUGUCCAUCAUUAUAUUUUCCACUUUUCACUGUAUGCUCUCUCUAUUAAAUACAUCUUGGCUAUGCGUGACGAGGACAUAGACGAAGGAAAAAUAAAUUUUAUUUUCAUCUAGUUAAAGCAUAAAUGCUAUUGGGUAUGUCCAUUCUUAAUUUGUUCAGAUUUUUACCAGGCAAUUAAUUAAUUAAGUUGUGCUGCUUUUUAAUAUAAAUCGAUCAAAAUUUUCAAGUUAAAAUGAGCAUAUGUUUUUAAGGGUGGCGUUUAUGCUUAACUCUGAACACACGCCACUUUCAUGCCAAACGGUUCUGCCUCUUUGCAGGAAUUGGUAGAAUGGGAACACAAGAGCAAAAUAGAUGGGAAAAUGCAUGCCUGUGGCCAUGAUGCGCAUGUCGCAAUGCUCCUUGGUGCUGCAAAGAUUCUGCAAGAAAUGCGUGAAACAUUGAAGGUAAUUGGUGGAAUUAUUUAUUCAAAAUUUUGCUAAAAAGUUCAGAAUUUUCUCCUCCUCCUUUCUUUAAAACCGAAUUAAUUUUCAUUUGGUGUUCUGACACAGGGCACUGUCGUUCUCAUAUUUCAACCAGCUGAGGAACGAGGAACAGGUGCAAAAGAUAUGAUUCAAGAAGGUGUUCUUGAAAAUGUAGAGGCCAUUUUUGGAUUGCAUUUGGUGCAUAAGUAUCCCACUGGCGUUGUUGCUUCACGGCCUGGAGAUUUUCUAGCUGGUUGUGGGAGCUUUAAGGCCAAAAUCAGUGGUAAAGGAGGCCAUGCUGCAAUCCCACAACACUGCAUUGAUCCAAUUUUGGCAGUUUCAUCGUCAGUCAUUAGCUUGCAGAAUAUUGUUUCCAGGGAAAUAGACCCAUUAGAUUCUCAGGUAAUUAUUCGACAUACACGCUUAAUCAGAAUUUCGAGCUUUCCCUGCCCCUAACAAGAAAGUUUGGUCAUGGCAGGUGGUUUCGGUAGCUAUGAUCAAUGGAGGGAGUUCAUACAACAUGAUCCCAGACUCGGCUACAGUUGCUGGAACUUUUAGAGCUUUCAACAAAAAGAGGUUCAAUGCACUUAGAGAAAGAAUCGAAGAGGUACUAAUUUAAUUACUGCACUAAUUCUAAAGGCCAUUAAUAUCAUAUUAAGGUUCACAAAUAAAAUUUCUUUGAUUUGUUCAAGAUUAUCAAAGGGCAGGCGGCUGUUCAUCGGUGCUCCGCUGAAGUUGAUUUUUCAGGAAGGGAGCAUCCUACACUCCCUCCGACCAUGAAUGAUGUGAGAAUAUAUCAACAUGUACGGCGUGUCACGGCUGAAAUAUUAGGUGAAGAAAACGUCAAACUAGCUCCAAUAUUCACAGGGAGUGAAGAUUUUGCUUUCUUUUUAGAUGAAAUACCAGGAUCAUUUCUAUUAUUAGGAAUGCUAAAUGACAGUGUUGGAUCUUUGUACCCUCUGCACAGUCCUUAUUUUACCAUUGAUGAGAAUGUGCUUCCCAUUGGAGCUGUAAUUCACGCCGCUUUUGCUCAUUCUUACCUUGUAAAUUCCGGAAAACUAAGUUAAUUGAAGCAUAUAUAUAUUAGCAUACGGCAUAUAUAUGUAAAUGUACAUUUCUAGCCAGCACUAGAAGCUUAAGGCAGCCAAUUUUUGCCUUUAUCAUUGGUAUUUUGGUUUCCAGGAGAAGGGAGUUGGUUGGUUUGCGGUUUGUUCAACAAGCAAAGCAUCAUUCGAAAAACCCAUAUUUGAUUAUCUGUUUGCAGUUUACCAUUUUGAUUCUGCAUGGGACAUUAGCUAGUUUGGAGUUUUAAUUAUUAAUUAAUGCGGCGGCAUCUGUGUUUUCACCUGAUACAAUACAUUGCAUCUCAUGUCUAUUGUGACUGUGGUGUGCGGCUUAUCAAUUAAUAAACAUCAAUAACCAGACUAAUAGUAUAUAUAUAUAUAUAGCUAGAUUAAUUAAGUAAUAGAAACCAUCAUGGUUCACGACACUAUUCAGUAAAGAUAAAAAUAUAUAUCCACCCAAAACUAAAAAGUAAAAAACAUACAUAAAGCAAACAACGUCGACACAUGCAAUACCAAAAAAAACCUGAAGAAAAAGAGAAGCGAGAAACAUAGACAACACACUAAGAGUCUGAGAACGGCAGAAGCUUUCUAAAGACCAAGAAAAGCGACAAUGAAGGCAAGGAAUCCAAUCAUCAUCGACGGCGAUACGAGGUUGCCAAGAUUAUCCGGGGAUGAUGGGCCGGGGAAUGGAGACAUAGGCAUAUUAGGCAUAUUCGGGUCCAUGGCGACCGCGGCCAUGGCCAACACAGCAAAACAAACCGCGAACAUGGUUGCUCUCGUGCUAGAAGCCAUUUUUAUUUACGACUUGUGAGGAUUGAUCGAUGGAUGAAAGAAUACUGGCUGCCGAUUUGUAUUUAUACUGUUUGGAUGAUACAGGUUCGAUAAGGCCAAAGGAAUUAAUCCAGGGCUGUGCCGUCAUCUAAAUUAUUCGAC
RNAcentral lists this long non-coding RNA (42888 nucleotides) under Citrus sinensis (sweet orange). Its description in RNAcentral is "long non-coding RNA (CSIN_LNC002845)". Lineage: Eukaryota; Viridiplantae; Streptophyta; Magnoliopsida; Sapindales; Rutaceae. The record is from RNAcentral.